GGUGCUUGCAUCAUGAUUUACAUUUGAGUGAGUGGCGAACUGGUGAGUAACACGUGGGAAACCUGCCCAGAAGCGGGGGAUAACACCUGGAAACAGAUGCUAAUACCGCAUAACAACUUGGACCGCAUGGUCCGAGCUUGAAAGAUGGCUUCGGCUAUCACUUUUGGAUGGUCCCGCGGCGUAUUAGCUAGAUGGUGGGGUAACGGCUCACCAUGGCAAUGAUACGUAGCCGACCUGAGAGGGUAAUCGGCCACAUUGGGACUGAGACACGGCCCAAACUCCUACGGGAGGCAGCAGUAGGGAAUCUUCCACAAUGGACGAAAGUCUGAUGGAGCAACGCCGCGUGAGUGAAGAAGGGUUUCGGCUCGUAAAACUCUGUUGUUAAAGAAGAACAUAUCUGAGAGUAACUGUUCAGGUAUUGACGGUAUUUAACCAGAAAGCCACGGCUAACUACGUGCCAGCAGCCGCGGUAAUACGUAGGUGGCAAGCGUUGUCCGGAUUUAUUGGGCGUAAAGCGAGCGCAGGCGGUUUUUUAAGUCUGAUGUGAAAGCCUUCGGCUCAACCGAAGAAGUGCAUCGGAAACUGGGAAACUUGAGUGCAGAAGAGGACAGUGGAACUCCAUGUGUAGCGGUGAAAUGCGUAGAUAUAUGGAAGAACACCAGUGGCGAAGGCGGCUGUCUGGUCUGUAACUGACGCUAAGGCUCGAAAGUAUGGGUAGCAAACAGGAUUAGAUACCCUGGUAGUCCAUACCGUAAACGAUGAAUGCUAAGUGUUGGGAGGGUUUCCGCCCCUUCAUUG
Molecule: ribosomal RNA, 798 nt
Filed under: Lactiplantibacillus plantarum
Lineage: Bacteria; Bacillati; Bacillota; Bacilli; Lactobacillales; Lactobacillaceae
Description: bacterial SSU rRNA
Rfam family: Bacterial small subunit ribosomal RNA
Source: RNAcentral